Long non-coding RNA from Sinocyclocheilus rhinocerous, 553 nucleotides. RefSeq lists it as uncharacterized. The record is from RefSeq and is a predicted model, not a curated record. The transcript has 4 exons. Lineage: Eukaryota; Metazoa; Chordata; Actinopteri; Cypriniformes; Cyprinidae.
ACCCGCUGUCGUCUUCAUUCUGUCUCUUGCUUGAUAUUUCAACUGAGCCAAAAGUCAAAGAGUGUCAAACAGACAGAGUUCGCAAGUGGAUACGCCAACAUCAAGAGCAGAGAAGGAUAAUGGGAGCCAAUGUGUCACGUACGAUUGUCGGAGCGAUGGCAGGGGCGGUGACUGGAGGCUGUCUUGCCAUUGUAGUACUGGGGGCCUCAGUUGUGAUUCUUGCAAGCCCAAAAAUGUCACCACUGGCGCAAGCAUUCGUAAGCGCUGCACUAAGUAAAGGAAUGGAAAAAGUAACAAUCCCUGUGGGCGGAGGAGUUACAGGAGGAGCAACAGCAGGGGCAGCAGCGGCACUGGGGCAAGUAGCUGCAGGUGUCGUUCUUGUAGCUCCGGCUGUAGGAGCUUUUGGAGGAGCCAUCAUUGGAUGUGAAGCAGCAGAAGAUGCUGAUUCAAUGUAUGAUGCAAUGAGGAGAGCAAGCGAUCAAAACUUUGAGCUGGCAAAACAUAUAACUGAGAAUGUUCACCAAUUUAAAGCUGUUGCUUUUAAAACUGACAA